RNAcentral lists this transfer RNA (77 nucleotides) under Cytophagaceae bacterium. Its description in RNAcentral is "tRNA-Arg". The stretch from base 9 to 66 matches the Rfam family "tRNA", at positions 8 to 63 of the family's 71-position model. Rfam says of the family: Transfer RNA (tRNA) molecules are approximately 80 nucleotides in length. Their secondary structure includes four short double-helical elements and three loops (D, anti-codon, and T loops). Lineage: Bacteria; Pseudomonadati; Bacteroidota; Cytophagia; Cytophagales; Cytophagaceae. The record is from RNAcentral.
CGGUGGACUGGCGCAAUGGAUAGCGCGUUAGACUUCGGAUCUAAAGGUUCCGAGUUCGAGUCUCGGGGCGCGGACCA